CGUACCUACGGGGGGCAGCAGUGGGGAAUAUUGGGCAAUGGGCGCAAGCCUGACCCAGCAACGCCGCGUGAAGGAAGAAGGCUUUCGGGUUGUAAACUUCUUUUCUUGGGGACGAAGAAAGUGACGGUACCCAAGGAAUAAGCCACGGCUAACUACGUGCCAGCAGCCGCGGUAAUACGUAGGUGGCAAGCGUUAUCCGGAUUUAUUGGGUGUAAAGGGCGUGUAGGCGGGAUUGCAAGUCAGAUUUGAAAAUCACGGGCUCAACCUGUGGCCCGCAUUUGAAAUUGUAAUUCU
This 294-nucleotide ribosomal RNA is filed under the name uncultured bacterium. Its description in RNAcentral is "partial 16S ribosomal RNA". It matches the Rfam family "Bacterial small subunit ribosomal RNA", at positions 334 to 642 of the family's 1533-position model. The record is from RNAcentral.